Non-coding RNA from Apaloderma vittatum (bar-tailed trogon), 74 nucleotides. Lineage: Eukaryota; Metazoa; Chordata; Aves; Trogoniformes; Trogonidae. The record is from Rfam.
GGGCCUAUUAGCUCAGUCAGUUGAGCAUGGUGCUAACAACGCCAAGGUCACGGGUUUGAUUCCCGUUUGGUCCC